AAAUGCAUCUGCUCCUCAUGAUGUUACUUUAUAAUGCAGGGCCACCAUAGCUGGGCAAGGGGUGCCCAAAUUUAACUGGGGCCUAUGUGAGUCUGACAAAAAAGGACCGAGAUUCUAUUGCUAUCUGGAAGAUUAUCACUCCACCUCUUGUUGCAGAACGUGAUGGUGAGUAACCGAAGGUUAACAGGAUUCCUGCAUGUCAACUAUGCUUAUUGCUUUUCUGUAGUUUGUGGUGGGUAAGAGAAUAUCAGGUUUCUCUAACCAGACCACAUCAAGGUAACAGAUUUCAGGUAUCUGAAGCCUAUGAUGGGACUAUAAUUGUCUGUGUGUGUAUGGGAACAUCAGAUUUCCUUUCAUACGAAAAGUGGCUGAAUCAGUAGAAUAGUUGAUUUCCAAAGGAGAAGUAGCCAACUUUAGCAGAUCUUUAACAAACCUUGAAAAUAUAGUAGAGAAAAAUUGUAUUCUGAGCUACUGUCUUUUUGGUUUAUGUUUUGCUUUUCUUCUGUGAAAACUAUUUAAUUCAUGUUGUUACCAUGCUGGAUGUAUUUUGUAUGUCUGUAUAUUUACAAAGUAAGGCUAAGACAACAAUAUUGCCAUGUUGUGAUUUUAAAAAUUAAGGG
Long non-coding RNA from Corvus hawaiiensis (hawaiian crow), 620 nucleotides. RefSeq lists it as uncharacterized. Lineage: Eukaryota; Metazoa; Chordata; Aves; Passeriformes; Corvidae. The record is from RefSeq and is a predicted model, not a curated record. The transcript has 3 exons.